This 497-nucleotide ribosomal RNA is filed under the name uncultured bacterium. RNAcentral's name for it is "partial 16S ribosomal RNA". It matches the Rfam family "Bacterial small subunit ribosomal RNA", at positions 28 to 507 of the family's 1533-position model. The record is from RNAcentral.
GAUGAACGCUGGCGGCGUGCCUAAUACAUGCAAGUCGAGCGAACGGACGAGAAGCUUGCUUCUCUGAUGUUAGCGGCGGACGGGUGAGUAACACGUGGAUAACCUACCUAUAAGACUGGGAUAACUUCGGGAAACCGGAGCUAAUACCGGAUGAUAUUUUGAACCGCAUGGUUCAAAAGUGAAAGACGGUCUUGCUGUCACUUAUAGAUGGAUCCGCGCUGCAUUAGCUAGUUGGUAAGGUAACGGCUUACCAAGGCAACGAUGCAUAGCCGACCUGAGAGGGUGAUCGGCCACACUGGAACUGAGACACGGUCCAGACUCCUACGGGGGGCAGCAGUAGGGAAUCUUCCGCAAUGGGCGAAAGCCUGACGGAGCAGCGCCGCGUGAGUGAUGAAGGUCUUCGGAUCGUAAAACUCUGUUAUUAGGGAAGAACAUAUGUGUAAGUAACUGUGCACAUCUUGACGGUACCUAAUCAGAAAGCCACGGCUAACUACGUG